RNAcentral lists this long non-coding RNA (1026 nucleotides) under Ficedula albicollis (Collared flycatcher). Its description in RNAcentral is "lncRNA (ENSFALG00000025651.1)". The record is from RNAcentral. Lineage: Eukaryota; Metazoa; Chordata; Aves; Passeriformes; Muscicapidae.
AUGUGGGGUGUUGGUUGGAGGGGUGUUGGUGUUGGAGAGGUGUUGUGUUGGAUUGUGGGGUGUUGGUUGGAGGGGUGUUGUGUUGGAUGUGGGGUGUUGGUUGGAGGGGUGUUGUGUUGGAUGUGGGGUGUUGGUUGGAGGGGUGUUGUGUUGGAUGUGGGGUGUUGGUUGGAGGGGUGUUGUGUUGGAUGUGGGGUGUUGGUUGGAGGGGUGUUGUGUUGGAUGUGGGGUGUUGGUUGGAGGGGUGUUGUGUUGGAUGUGGGGUGUUGGUUGGAGGGGUGUUGUGUUGGAUGUGGGGUGUUGGUUGGAGGGGUGUUGUGUUGGAUGUGGGGUGUUGGUUGGAGGGGUGUUGUGUUGGAUGUGGGGUGUUGGUUGGAGGGGUGUUGUGUUGGAUGUGGGGUGUUGGUUGGAGGGGUGUUGGUUGGAUGUGGGGUGUUGGUUGGAGGGCUGUUUUGUGGGUUGCGGGGUCUCGGCUGGAGGGGUGUUGUGUUGGAUGCGGUGUCGCUCCGGCUGCGCUGUGGGUGCGCGGGCGCUCUCAGCGCAGGUGAGCCCCGUUCCCGUUCCCGCUCCGUUCCCGCCCGGCUCUCCCGACGGGCGCUCCGGGGUCCCCUGGCCUGCGCGCGCGGGGCGGAAGCGGCGGUGACGCAGGCGGGGGGGGGGGGGGGGGGGGGGGGGGGGGGGGGGGGGGGGGGGGGGGGGGGGGGGGGGGGGGGGGGGGGGGGGGGGGGGGGGGGGGGGGGGGGGGGGGGGGGGGGGGGGGGGGGGGGGGGGGGGUGUUGGUUGGAGGGCUGUUUUGUGGGUUGCGGGGUCUCGGCUGGAGGGGUGUUGUGUUGGAUGCGGUGUCGCUCCGGCUGCGCUGUGGGUGCGCGGGCGCUCUCAGCGCAGGUGAGCCCCGUUCCCGUUCCCGCUCCGUUCCCUCCCGCUCCGUUCCCGCCCGGCUCUCCUGAGGGGUUGGAGGGGUGUUGUGUUGGAUGCGGUGUCGCUCCGGCUGCGCUGUGGGUGCGCGGGCGCUCUCAGCGCAGGUGA